Molecule: transfer RNA, 74 nt
Filed under: Serratia proteamaculans
Lineage: Bacteria; Pseudomonadati; Pseudomonadota; Gammaproteobacteria; Enterobacterales; Yersiniaceae
Also listed under: 1 other name
Description: tRNA-Gly
Rfam family: tRNA
About the family: Transfer RNA (tRNA) molecules are approximately 80 nucleotides in length. Their secondary structure includes four short double-helical elements and three loops (D, anti-codon, and T loops). Further hydrogen bonds mediate the characteristic L-shaped molecular structure. tRNAs have two regions of fundamental functional importance: the anti-codon, which is responsible for specific mRNA codon recognition, and the 3' end, to which the tRNAs corresponding amino acid is attached (by aminoacyl-tRNA synthetases). tRNAs cope with the degeneracy of the genetic code in two manners: having more than one tRNA (with a specific anti-codon) for a particular amino acid; and 'wobble' base-pairing, i.e. permitting non-standard base-pairing at the 3rd anti-codon position.
Source: RNAcentral
GCGUCUGUAGUUAAGGGGUAUAACGUCUGCCUUCCAAGCAGGAGACGCCGGUUCGAUCCCGGCUGGACGCUCCA